AUACGUAGGGGGCGAGCGUUGUCCGGAAUGAUUGGGCGUAAAGGGCGCGUAGGCGGCCUGUUAAGUCUGGAGUGAAAGUCCUGUUUUCAAGAUGGGAAUUGCUUUGGAUACUGAUGGGCUUGAGUGCAGGAGAGGUUAUCGGAAUUCCCGGUGUAGCGGUGAAAUGCGUAGAGAUCGGGAGGAACACCAGUGGCGAAGGCGGGUAAAUGGACUGCAACGGACGCUGAGGCGCGAAAGUGUGGGGAGCAAACAGGAUUAGAUACCCUGGUAUUCCACGCCGUAAACGAUGAAUACUAGGUGUCGGGUUUCUAUAGAGAUUCGGUGCCGCAGCAAACGCAAUAAGUAUUCCGCCUGGGGAGUACGUUCGCAAGAAUGAAACUCAAAUGAAUUGACGGGG
Molecule: ribosomal RNA, 397 nt
Filed under: uncultured bacterium
Lineage: Bacteria
Description: partial 16S ribosomal RNA
Rfam family: Bacterial small subunit ribosomal RNA
Source: RNAcentral